Molecule: ribosomal RNA, 695 nt
Filed under: uncultured delta proteobacterium
Lineage: Bacteria; Deltaproteobacteria
Description: bacterial SSU rRNA
Rfam family: Bacterial small subunit ribosomal RNA
Source: RNAcentral
UGCUUACACAUGCAAGNUCGAACGGUUCAGUAUUUUCAAUGGGUUGAUUGAGUAGCAAUACCCAAGAUUCUCAAAGAAAAUACUGGAUAGUGGCAAACGGGUGAGUAACACGUGGAUAAUCUACCCUUGAGUGGGGGAUAACUUUGUGAAAGCGGAGCUAAUACCGCGUAAGACUACAGAAUCGCAUGAUUCAGUAGUAAAAGGCCUUCGAUUUUCGGAGGUUGCUCAGGGAUGAGUCCGCGCCUGAUUAGCUAGUUGGUAAGGUAACGGCCUACCAAGGCAACGAUCAGUAGCCGGCCUGAAAGGGUGUACGGCCACACUGGAAUUGAGAUACGGUCCAGACUCCUACGGGAGGCAGCAGUGGGGAAUCUUGCGCAAUGGGGGAAACCCUGACGCAGUGACGCCGCGUGAACGAUGAAGUCCUUCGGGAUGUAAAGUUCUGUCAGGUGGGAAGAAACUCCUCCGAUUGUAUCGGAGGGAUGACGGUACCACCAGAGGAGGCACUGGCUAAUUCCGUGCCAGCAGCCGCGGUAAUACGGAGGGUGCAAGCGUUGUUCGGAAUUACUAGGCGUAAAGCGCGUGUAGGUGGUUAACUAAGUCGGAUGUGAAAAUUCCGAGCUCAACUCGGANCCUGCAUNCGAACUGGUUAACUUGAAUGUAAGAAAAGAAAGCGNAAUUCCUAGUGUACCGGUGAA